Long non-coding RNA from Lagenorhynchus albirostris (white-beaked dolphin), 703 nucleotides. RefSeq lists it as uncharacterized. The transcript has 3 exons. NCBI's taxonomy places the organism in Eukaryota, Metazoa, Chordata, Mammalia, Artiodactyla, Delphinidae. The record is from RefSeq and is a predicted model, not a curated record.
GGUUGUUAAUGAAUUUAUCAGGAACAGAGAAGGCAGCCACUGCCUGGUGCCAUGUGUGUCGGCGAGGGGGGACAGAGCAGAUGCAAAGUGACCCUGCCAAGGAGGGACCGAGAUCAAGGGGCUCCGCUCCGCACGGCAGGGAGGGAGAAGCAUCUGUGCGAACACCCGGAGAGCUGAGCCUCGGUCCCCAGGCUUCUUGGGGAAGGCAGACCCGACAGGUCCGCAGGAAGCGCUGUGGAUGGUGGCGCUGGGCGGCUGCACUUCCGCAGCAGAAAACUAACUGGUGGAAGCAGGCCAGCGCUGUUGUCGUCAGGGCAGCGAACAGAGCCCCCAAAGCGAGGAGAGUCCGACGUCCCUCCUGUAGAUGCUGGUACAGUUGUUCUGGACAGAGAGGAUACUGCUAAAGGAGCAGGGAGGGUCCUGCUGGUGCGGAAAGAGGUGGCAGGAGUUGCUAGUUGGUCUUUUUUUUUUAAUUGUAGUUUUGUAACCGAGCCACCUACCAACAGACGACGUUCUCUGAUAAGUAUGAGAGAGAAUAUUAGAUGCUUCGGUAACAGAAAACUGUCUUUGGAUGAUACUGCUUUGGUGAAUAAGUGUACACAAAUAAGCCCGGCAGGAUAGUUGGGGACACACUACCAGAACACCCAGGUGACGGUUUCAAUCCCAAUUGAGGCUUGCAGGGCUUUUUAGGUGAAUGAACAGG